This 96-nucleotide ribosomal RNA is filed under the name Nannospalax galili (Upper Galilee mountains blind mole rat). The record is from RNAcentral. Lineage: Eukaryota; Metazoa; Chordata; Mammalia; Rodentia; Spalacidae.
GUUCAUGACUAUACUACCCUGAACAUAUCCCAUCACAUCUGAUCUCAGAAGCUAAGUAGUGUGGCACCUGAUUAGAUCUUGGGUGGGACAAGAACA